UACCAACCCAUUCAAAAGUAACUGCUACUUAAGCAUUAUAUACCUCAUACAAACAUUUAUACUUCCUUAGACAUUAGUUGUGACACCAUCCUUUCUCAAAGCCAAGAAGAUUUCAACAAGUGUCAUUCAUUAAUUAAGAUAAGAAACAAUCUCAAGAAUUACUCCCGUAAACAAGUGCAAAUACUCUUGAGAGAAAACAAAACAGUAGCUGAAAUGAGUUCAACAAUAUAUACACCUACCUCGACCAAGUCAAUCUCUCAAAGCACAACUGAUAUGACUGCCGAGAAGACUUGAACCAACAUGGACAAUUCUCCAAAUGAUACAUAAUUCAGUCAGCUAAUUCAUCAAACAAAUGCAACUCAAUACAUUCUUAACAAUGCGCAAAGUUUGCACAAAUAUAGUGCUACAACAAAUACAUAACAUAAACAUAAAUACAAGUUAAUACUAGCAUAAUUUGCGUUUUUUAGAAAUUAAUUCAUCUCUAAUACUACACAUGAUUUUCUUCAAAGCUAUGAAUCUGAUCCUUCUAAUACCAUACCCUAACAUAUAGGUUUCUUUCGCUUCUACUAACUUUCCUCUUAACACACCUUUGGCCUUUUCAUCAUCUUCUUCGAGUUGGAGAGUAAUUGAUGUGAUACUUUUUCCUAAAUCCAGUAGUAUUGGAAGUAACAUUUCUUCUUGACAUCUAUCCAAUUCAUUUCCCAACUUAUUCAAAACAACUUUCCUUUCUUCAUGAAUUUGUAAAAAUUUACAUAAAAUUCUGUCAUGUUCUUCAAGUAGAUCAUCGUAAGAGCAUCUCUAAUGGGUCUCCCAUAUUUAGCCCACACAUGGGACGAUUUAGCC
RNAcentral lists this long non-coding RNA (843 nucleotides) under Aquilegia coerulea. Its description in RNAcentral is "long non-coding RNA (ACOE_LNC000377)". The record is from RNAcentral. Lineage: Eukaryota; Viridiplantae; Streptophyta; Magnoliopsida; Ranunculales; Ranunculaceae.